Molecule: long non-coding RNA, 5972 nt
Filed under: Sus scrofa (pig)
Lineage: Eukaryota; Metazoa; Chordata; Mammalia; Artiodactyla; Suidae
Description: lncRNA (ENSSSCG00060027458.1)
Source: RNAcentral
UUUUUUUUUUUUUUUUUUUUUUUUUUUUCUGGCCACACCUGUGGCAUGAGAAAGUUCCUUUGCCAGGGGUUGAACUUGCACCAUAGCAGCAACCCAAGCCACUUCAGUGACAAUGCCAGAUCCUUAACCUCCUGUGCUGCAGGAGAACUCCUUGACUUUUGUUUAACAUCAGGAAAUUAGAUGUUAAGGUUAUAUUAUCUAGAUGCCAAAUAAGCAAAUUUGACUCUUGAAUCAAAGGCCUUAGUCAUUUUGGGUUAAAAAACUAACCCAUGCUGGAAGUGUUAUCAAGUAUUGCUAAUCCAAAGAGAAGAGUAAUAAAACAAUGUUUAUUUGCUGGACACUGGAGGUGACACUUUUGCAGGGAAGUGAUCUUUCUAUGCCAUUCUAAUCUCCCUUGAUAAAGCACAAUGGAACUAAGCUGAUGUUAAUGGUACAGGGAAAAAAAUCCUUUGUAGAUAAAACAUAAAUAAAUAAAUUCAUUCAUGGAACAUAGGGGUGGAAAUGGAGGUGGAUGUUGCUGAGGAAAUGAUGACCUUACUGUUAAUUUUUCCUGUUUGACCAAAAAGGAGUAAAUUACACCAGAAUAAGGACUUUGGCUCUUUUUACAAGAGCAUGGUUUUGCUCCAUUAUAAAGUUAUUUAGAAAACUAAACGCUUGUAAGAAUCUUUCUUCUUAGAAGAAUUGUAUUCAUAGAAUAAGUGAAGUCUACUUUGAUUUCCAACUCACCCACUCCCUUUUUUCUCAGAUAUUUAUCAAGUAAUGUGGUUUAUAAUCCAAACAUUAAAAAGUGCCUUAACCCAGAACAUACACAUGAGCACAAUAACACUAGACUGAUGAUGUUUGUACUUUAUAAAACACUGAGAUCUUCUCUAAAACAGAGUGGUUUGAGAACAUAAGGUCUAGAGUGUAAAGAAUUGUAACGGAAUGAUAAACAUAUCUGUGAUUCUAUCGAGCCAUAGAAUCAGAGACAGCACAUUCCUGGCUAUCCUUUGGCCAAAGCUUACUAGGGAACCUGACCCUAUUCCCUUAAGCAGAGGUCUGCCUCAGGAUGUUCAUAUGCUUCACUAUGUGGGAUAAGCAAGUUGACAUUUAGACAUAACUGAGGCCAACCUGGAAUUUGGCUCUUAUCCUUUCCUUCAUGAGCCAUUGUAGACAGGCUUUUGGGGGGAGGGGGCUAAAUUCUCAUGGCAGUCUCUUAAGAAGCUGGGAUCAUAAAACAAAAUAGGCUUAAUAGAUGACUGUUAAGAUAAACCAGCUUCACUUUGUGUAACUGCUAGUCUUAUUUCUUGGAAUAUUAGGGUGUGCUUAGUAUAUUUUUGUUCUAGAAUUUGAAUGUUCUUGCUAAGAUAGUCAUAUCACAAUGAUGCCAAACUGAAUCACCCAAAAUGAAUCUGCUUUGACCUCAGUGACUUUAAAAUCUCUCUUUUAAUCAAGGCUUCCUGACUCUCUCUUGAGGGCUUAUCAGAAGAACUCUUUAUUUUGUCUAACAUCUAGCAGUGAAGAUUAGUUGGGCUUAUGUGUGAAGUUAGUCAAGAUUUUUUAAAGGCAGAGGAGAAAAUUAAAAUUGGAAAUGAAAUGGUACUUUGCUUGGGCUUUAACAGACUGCCCACAUAUUGUCGGACUGCCCAUGUAUUGUAUCUAAGGAGUACAUUUGUGAAAUGGAUCAUGAUGGUCAGAGCUGGUAUUGGUGAGCUUAAAAAUCUGUAAAGGCUCUUUUAUAUUUUGUUUGUUUAUAAAUCAUGGACUGGAAUAUCUUCACAAGUCUGAGUGCUUCCAGCACAAAUAGCAAACUUUUUGCAUUAUUUUUCUAUAGUUUUUACUUGUUGGGAGUCAAUUCGCCUUAGAAGUCUUGCAUUUCUGUGUAUCUUAUUAAGGAGGCACUGACACCCUGUAUCCUAGACUGUCUUGGUGGAUGGGUGAGCAUCCUUGGUAGAGAGAGGGUCUCUACUUCCUCUCCCUCCUCCAAAGCAGAAAAACACCAUUAGCAGAGUUCCCAUCGUAGCUUAGUGGUAACAAACCUGACUGUUAUCCAUGAGGAUGUGGGUUUGAUCCCUGGCUUUGCUCAGUGAGUUAAGGAUCUGGCAUUGCCGUGAGCUGUGGUGUAGGUCGCAGAUGAGGCUCAGAUCUGGCGUUGCUGUGGCUGUGGUGUAGGCUGGCAGCUGCAGCUCCAAUUCAACCCCUAGCCUGAAACUUCCAUAUGCCCCAAGAGUGGCAAAAAAGAAAAGGAAAAAGAAACACCAUCAGCAAACUACUCUCAUCAAAACUGAACACCUGAGCCAUCCAACCUCAUACUUCCAAUGUGGAGUGGAUCAAAUAGACUCACGAUUACCAAGAUGAGAAGAACCCAACAAGCCUCACUUGUCAGAUGGAACUAGUAUAUUCAAGAAUGCAGCUGGCUUAGACUUUGUUGCAUCUUGGAUUUACAUAAAAAAAUGGCUGCUAUCCAUGAAGGGAAAAUUGAUCCCCCAUUCCACUGCCUGAAAUGAAGGGAAUGGCUCAGUGGUGUCUUUGAUUUAUAAAGGUUUCAUUUGGGAGGGUUUAAAAAUACAUUUAAGUUAUAAUCAGGAGAUUCCCCUAAAAGCCUGCUGCUUCUUUCACCGAUGGAUUGGCCAAACCAAAACCCCAUGGUGUUCAAUGAGCUGCUAUGGCUGCCUCAGUCUCAGCACCAGGUACACUGACCUGAAAAUGCAUGUGGUUGAUCUGAUCCAUGGGCAGAACUCAAAGCUGUUUUUGUUACUUCAGCCAGUACCCUCUGUGCUGAGCCUUGUUAUGUUUUUCUAACUCAGGCUGUUGCUAACGACCUGCAGUUUGGUCUGUCCCUUGGAAAACUACAAAUUGGCAGGUUAAAGACACACUUCCUUAGGGGCUACAAACAGUGGAAACAGAUUGUGGCUGCUGACAGAGCUGUCUGGGUCAUUCCCUGAUGAGACCGACUAGAAUGAAGAUGUUGGCUAGGUCAGCAGCACCCAGAUUGCCAUGACUGUCCUGCACAGGGCAGCACAUCCACCAGUGUAUGGCUAGGACACAAAGUAAAGGACUGUGUUUCUGAUGCAGAGCUACCAUUUGGUGCCAGACUUGAGACUCCUGCCAAAAGUAGACCUGAUUGCUUUGCGGUAAAGGAGACCACAUCGCACAGAGUGUUGGCCAGCCUACUUCUGGCAGACGAUUAUUUCAGAUCUUUGCCCCCACUCUCAGAGCUGUUGGUUGUAUGUCACUGCUGUUGGCACUUUCUCAGGUUACAGUGUUACUGUUCCAGUCUGAUUAGUUGACUUCAGCCACACCACUUUGGAACUAAUCGGUGUCACGUGUUUGGCUUUCUGGACCAUUUGGUAUGACAAUGGUAUUAUACCUUUUAUUGCAAAAGCCACUCAACCAUGGGCUGAUAGUCAAGGUAUUUGAUAGACUUUCCAUGCUUCCUACCAUCCACAGGCAUCUGGAAUUUUUGAGCUUUGGAAAUUUUCUCUACAUUGUUCGGUGUUUUCUCUGGCAGUCAUUUAUCAAGCCUUCUCAGAAAGGCUUAGUACAUCACUCCAGAGUUAGCUCCGAAUAGUGCAGUAUUUUGUCCUCUGUCUGACACCUAAGCCUUGUAAUUGGUGGGUUUCAAUUCAGAGACAGUUUGUGAUCAAUAGCUUGAGCCUCAGGCUGGGAAACCAGUACCGAAGAGGGAGCUGUGACUGUUUUGUCCAAAAUAAGACUCCUCUACCUGGUAUGCUUUAUUCAUUUUGAAGCAGGAAAACCAGUAUUUUCAGCUGAUUUCUCUUUAAUUUUUCUUCUCUUUCCAUCUUCCUCCCGAUCCCCCCCAAAAUGUAAUUUUUAUUCCUAUUUUGUUUUAAUGGUAACUGCUAUUCCCUGUACAGAUAGGUGUGCUAUAGUUCUUUUCCUGUUAUACCUGUUCUAAGGCUUGCCUGCUGGUGAUUGGUUGAUGCAAAGGCAUAGAAAGAUCAUGGUGUGAAGGGGAAUUAUGUACAAUUUAGAAUCACUUAAGGGUGGUGUGUGACCUGGGAAUCAACAAAGGAAGAGAGAUUAUGGCAGGGCUUUCUGCCCCCGGCCCCCACCCAGGAUUUUCAGUGGGAAGUGGAUAUUAUCAGGCUUGGUCUAUCACCAUCAUUCCAGUGAUAGUGGCUUAGAAUGGAGGGAGAUAGACUAGAAUCUGGAAUGCUAGUCAGAAGGUUGCUGCAGUCAUCCAUCCAGGUUAGAGAUGUAAUGAUCUUAACUAGAGCAGUAGUAGUAAGGAUUGAAUGUAGGAUAUUUGGAAGAUGAAAUGAGCAGGUGCUAGCAAUUGAUUGGACACAGGGAUGAGUGAUGAGUGAUGUCCAGAGUUCCAACUGGGUGACUGGGUGGAUGGCAGGACACAAGCCGGAAGGUGGAAAAAGCAAGUAUUUAAGAUUGGACAUCUUGGAAAUGAGAAGCCUAUGAAACAGGCACAGAGAACUGCACAGCAGGCUGUUGAGUAUUCAAGACCAACAGCUGGACAACGAUUGCAUAUGUGACCUGCAUGAGACAAGAGCUACUCUACAGCUCUAAGGUUCAUUCUGUUGCAUUGUCGCCCUGAAUGAUAUGUAUGUUUAGCAAAGAGAAUUGGCAUGACCCAGUACCCAUGAGACUGGAUCAGGCAAUUCAAAAAUUAUUUCAGUAAGAUUAUACUCGUAUUACUAAUGAGAUGAAGUCACUGCAUUACACUGUACUGGAAGCUGCAGAGAACAACACUGGCUUUGGGGUGAUGUGCUUCUACCCAUGCACAUAGAUAGGUGCAUGCAUUCCAUUUGUUGUUGUAACUCAUCAUAGAGUUAGAACUUAAAAAAAUGAUGAGCUGUUGUUAGUUUCUUGCAUGACCAGCCUGCUAAAGAAACACACAGGCCACCACUGUUUGGACUUUGGAUGUAGAAAAGGAAAAACUCAGGUUUUUUGUUUUUGUUUUUGUUUUUUUCACUCUAAUCCUUCUCUUUUAAAAUUAAAAAUACUUCUUUCUCUUUUUAAAAUAACUCUGUAAUAGCUUUGGGGAAGCAACAUAGAAUUUACAAAGUAGGCCAAAAAUGGGGAAAUUUUUAAUUAGAUUGGGGGUUUUGAUUUUUUCACUUACUAAAAACUGUUGGACCCAAAUCCCAAUAUCUCUCUACCAUCUUUUUAUUUAUUCUUAUGCAUUUGGCAGACUUCAGGACAAAACCUCUUCCCAGCUGGGCCAAAAAUCUUUUCUGAAGCUCCUACUAAUUUGGAUUAAACUGACUACUUGAAAGCUUCACACAGAAAUCCUGCCAGGAAAUGUCAUGAGGUCCCUUGACAGUUAAUUCUACAAACAGUCAUCUUUUGGAGCAAAAUAGACAAAAGUUUAUUUAAAAAUUUUUGUCUUUGUUAGCUUGCUUGCUUUCUUAGUUUUGGAGAAACAGAUCAAGAACCUAAAAAUGACAGAACUUUGUUUUUGCCUCCAGUUUGGCUUUCUGAACCCAAAGAGAGGAAUUUGCACGAUGCAAAGUGGGUUCCUAAGGAAGAAGGGCAAGAUGAGUGCCGUGAAAUGAGUGAGGCUUCUAUGGGAGGCCAUGAUGUGUAUCUACGAGCUGUGACUGGUCCAGGAGACCCAGCCCUCAGCAGGUGCCACAGAACCCAGAGCUAGACUUGGAAGCCUAUCAAGUUGAUCUCUGUAUACUUUGCUGCCGUUCUCAACAAUGAAAAAGACACAGCCCCAUCCUCUAUGAGCUUAUAGUCGCAUGGGCUACAGAUGGUAGUAAACAGAGUGCUGACGGUGUGGGCCUGCAGAAGAGCAAGCUGAUGAAAAUAAAGACUGAGUUGCCAGCUCGUAUGUGUCCUUAUUUCCAAGGACAAACACAAACCCUGUCUCCGGGAGCUGCUUCUCUAUUCCAAGACAAAUGAGCUGUUGAAGUGUCAUGAUUUUGAAAUCCUAGCAAUAUACAUAAAGGAUAUUUUACUGAUCAACCUCAAGGAAUUUGUCAUAAAUAAAAAAUGUUUUGUGAUUCAAA